Molecule: ribosomal RNA, 253 nt
Filed under: uncultured bacterium
Lineage: Bacteria
Description: partial 16S ribosomal RNA
Rfam family: Bacterial small subunit ribosomal RNA
Source: RNAcentral
UACGUAGGGGGCAAGCGUUAUCCGGAUUUACUGGGUGUAAAGGGAGCGUAGGCGGCGAUGCAAGUCAGAAGUGAAAGCCCGGGGCUCAACUCCGGGACUGCUUUUGAAACUGUGUUGCUAGAUUGCAGGAGAGGUAAGUGGAAUUCCUAGUGUAGCGGUGAAAUGCGUAGAUAUUAGGAGGAACACCAGUGGCGAAGGCGGCUUACUGGACUGUAAAUGACACUGAGGCUCGAAAGCGUGGGGAGCAAACAGG